GCUCUUUGAAGUUGGAAAUGGGAGGCUCUGCAGCUGAUUGCGUGGCUUUCAUGCGACUUUGGUGGACGAAAUGGCCAGCAAGGGAGCUGUCGUGACUCGCUCAUCGGCAUCGCAUCGUCGAGAGCUCAGCGUUGAGUCUUUCAAGUGCUAUAAGAUUUAUGCUCCAACCAGAGGUUAAUUUGCGUGCCAUGGAAUCAAGAGAGCAAAUAGACAAUGAAGAUGGUGUUGCGGCUGCAGUGGAUGCAUUCCAUAGGCAUUUGCCACCACAGCUACCGAUCCCUCCUCCUCCUGUCAUUUUUUUGUCUGUG
This is a long non-coding RNA of Musa acuminata AAA Group (dessert banana), 308 nucleotides long. RefSeq lists it as uncharacterized. The record is from RefSeq and is a predicted model, not a curated record. The transcript is spliced from 3 exons. NCBI's taxonomy places the organism in Eukaryota, Viridiplantae, Streptophyta, Magnoliopsida, Zingiberales, Musaceae.